This 460-nucleotide ribosomal RNA is filed under the name uncultured bacterium. Its description in RNAcentral is "partial 16S ribosomal RNA". It matches the Rfam family "Bacterial small subunit ribosomal RNA", at positions 338 to 795 of the family's 1533-position model. The record is from RNAcentral.
CCUACGGGCUGCAGCAGUGAGGAAUAUUGGUCAAUGGACGGAAGUCUGAACCAGCCAUGCCGCGUGCAGGAAGACGGCUCUAUGAGUUGUAAACUGCUUUUGUACAAGGGUAAACCUGAAUACGUGUAUUCAGCUGAAAGUACUGUACGAAUAAGGCUCGGCUAACUCCGUGCCAGCAGCCGCGGUAAUACGGAGGAUCCAAGCGUUAGCCGGAUGUAUUGGGUUUAAAGGGUGCGUAGGCGGAGUGAUAAGUUAGAGGUGAAAUGUCCGAGCUUAACUCGGGAACUGCCUCUAAUACUGUUGAUCGAGAGUGUAGAUGCGGUAGGCGGAAUGUAUGGUGUAGCGGUGAAAUGCUUAGAGAUCAUACAGAACACCGAUUGCGAAGGCAGCUUACCAAUCUAUAUCUGACGUUGAGGCACGAAAGCGUGGGGAGCAAACAGGAUUAGAUACCCCAGUAGUC